CCUACGGGCGGCAGCAGUGAGGAAUAUUGGUCAAUGGCCGAGAGGCUGAACCAGCCAAGUCGCGUGAGGGAAGAAUGUCCUAUGGAUUGUAAACCUCUUUUGUCAGGGAGCAAAGUCACCCACGUGUGGGUGUUGGAGAGUACCUGCAGAAAAAGCAUCGGCUAACUCCGUGCCAGCAGCCGCGGUAAUACGGGGGGUGCAAGCGUUGUCCGGAAUCAUUGGGCGUAAAGAGUUCGUAGGCGGCACGUAAAGUCUGGUGUUAAAGGCAGAGGCUCAACUUCUGUACGGCACUGGAUACUUGCGAGCUAGAAGGCGGUAGAGGUAAAGGGAAUUCCUGGUGUAGCGGGGAAAUGCUUAGAUAUCAGGAGGAACAGCGGUGGCGUAAGCGCUUUACUGGGCCGUAAUUGACGCUGAGGAACGAAAGCCAGGGUAGCAAAUGGGAUUAGAUACCCGUGUAGUC
Molecule: ribosomal RNA, 460 nt
Filed under: uncultured bacterium
Lineage: Bacteria
Description: partial 16S ribosomal RNA
Rfam family: Bacterial small subunit ribosomal RNA
Source: RNAcentral